UUCCUGAAAUAAACAUAUUUUCAGUUAAAAGAAUAUUUUAUAAUGAAGUUCAUUCAGACCUCAAGUUCUUAUUAAAGAAAGCACUGUGUGAUAUACAGUCUUCCUAGAUGGAAAUUUUACUUUAGCAGUACCUCUGGUUUCUGACAUUUUAGAUUUUGCAUGUACAUAUUUAAAAGUAUUAUCUCUAAAAUCAAAAGUUCAGAAUCUCAGAAUUUACAAAUUAAUUUAAAUGAAAUCCAGUAUUUUGACACAGUUGUAUAUACUGUACUGCAAUCUUAUGGAAUGAUUGUCUUUUGAGAGUCAUGAAUUAUAUAAUAAACAAUCUCUCUUUCUGUUCAGGAUUCUACAAGACCAUAUAAGAAGGAUAUCAAACUCAAAAUGUCAUAAGAGCCACAUGAGAACCAUCCUGGGGGCCACAAUAGGAACCUCUUCACUUAUUAAAAAAACAUUUCUACAUGCCACUGAGUGUUUGAAAGUCAUUACUGUUACAAGUUACCUCUCCAUCUACAUUGUAUGACAAAGGAUCAAAGGAAGACUCAUUCAAACUCUUUGGGGAAGCAUGAGGCAAAAGAAGACAAUUAAAAACAACGUGGCUUACAAUCACCAGCCAAAACAAUGCUGGAGGCUUAGACUGCUUUGCUUCGAAGAACUAUACUGCGACUCUAGCCGUAGAGGAAAUCUCUUUCAAGAUAUAUUCUGAGGGUAAAAUAAUCAAUUCUUUCAGCUAAACUCUCGAUUCAAAUUAAUGCUUCACAAUAAGAUGAAAUUGUUUCAUUUCAAAUACGCUUGGUAAUAGAAAAAAGAGAAUACGAACUAUAUAAAUGCUUGUCACACAUUUUUAAAAUAUUAACAUGAAGA
This is a long non-coding RNA of Thamnophis elegans (Western terrestrial garter snake), 858 nucleotides long. RefSeq lists it as uncharacterized. Lineage: Eukaryota; Metazoa; Chordata; Lepidosauria; Squamata; Natricidae. The record is from RefSeq and is a predicted model, not a curated record. The transcript is spliced from 3 exons.